This 497-nucleotide ribosomal RNA is filed under the name uncultured bacterium. Its description in RNAcentral is "partial 16S ribosomal RNA". It matches the Rfam family "Bacterial small subunit ribosomal RNA", at positions 28 to 507 of the family's 1533-position model. The record is from RNAcentral.
GAUGAACGCUGGCGGCGUGCCUAAUACAUGCAAGUCGAGCGAACAGACGAGGAGCUUGCUCCUCUGAUGUUAGCGGCGGACGGGUGAGUAACACGUGGAUAACCUACCUAUAAGACUGGGAUAACUUCGGGAAACCGGAGCUAAUACCGGAUAACAUGUUGAACCGCAUGGUUCAACAGUGAAAGACGGUCUUGCUGUCACUUAUAGAUGGAUCCGCGCCGCAUUAGCUAGUUGGUAAGGUAACGGCUUACCAAGGCAACGAUGCGUAGCCGACCUGAGAGGGUGAUCGGCCACACUGGAACUGAGACACGGUCCAGACUCCUACGGGAGGCAGCAGUAGGGAAUCUUCCGCAAUGGGCGAAAGCCUGACGGAGCAACGCCGCGUGAGUGAAGAAGAUCUUCGGAUCGUAAAACUCUGUUAUUAGGGAAGAACAAAUGUGUAAGUAACUAUGCACGUCUUGACGGUACCUAAUCAGAAAGCCACGGCUAACUACGUG